AAUCAUUUAAGAAAUAUGCACAGAUCAAGCACUAUUUACAAGCCAAAACUGCUCUAAACAAAUAUGUGGGUGGAUUUUGAUGUCAGAGGACAUCAGGGAAUGGACUUUUUCUCUGCAGGGAGCGCUAUUAUGGAAUGUGGACUAAUUUUUUGGGCUAGAAGUGACGGUUUAAACUCAUUGGAUUCUGACGGCACCCAUUCACUGCAGAGGAUCCACUGGUGAGCAAGUGAUGCGAUGCUGAAUUUCUCCAAAUCAGCUCUGAUGAAGAAACAAACUCUUCUAGAAACAAACUAAUCUACAUCUUUGAUGGCCUGAGGGCAGAGCAGCAGGUCAGGCCACCGAUGGGAGGCAGUCCUGGGCCACACCUCCACGGACCAGAAGCCCGUACAAAUCUCUGAACGUUCGUCAAAUGUCAGUUCUGUGGCCUUGGACUUACACGGCCGCUCUGACAUACAGAUUUACCCAGAGCUGCUUACAUUGGCAAGACCCAGACCUUCUGAGAGCCCAAAACCAAAUCAAAAUAUGGAUUAAUGCUGUAUUUUUUUGAAGGCCGUAUCUGCGCUAAUGCUUGCACGUCAUGCUGAAAGAUGGAUCCAGUGACAGUCUUAAACAUUUAUAAUGGUGUAUUUGCCUUGGAUCAUUUUGUCUAGAUGGUUUUAAAAGAUUCAUGUUUGCUUCUGCAGACUAUUACAGGAGCAUCUCAAUGACACCGUCAGUAAAUCCACAAAAUCGUGUUUGUGGUUUCCUCAUGUCAAAUUCAAAAUACUCCAGUUCAUCUUCACUCCUUGAGAUAUUUGCAGUCGUUUUCACAUGCCACAUCAGUCUUGUCUUUCCUUUUUUCUUUUUUUAAUAUAAAAUGUUUUUAAAUAUUUGAAGCCUAUUUUCUCGGGUUGUACUGUCACAUUAUAAC
Cyprinus carpio carpio is the source of this 910-nucleotide long non-coding RNA. Lineage: Eukaryota; Metazoa; Chordata; Actinopteri; Cypriniformes; Cyprinidae. The record is from Ensembl.